UGGGGAAUUUUGCACAAUGGGCGCAAGCCUGAUGCAGCGACGCCGCGUGAGGGAUGAAGGCCUUCGGGUUGUAAACCUUUUUCGCUCAUGGUCAAGCCGCAGCUUUGGGUUGUGGUGAGGGUAGUGGGUAAAGAAGCGCCGGCUAACCACGUGCCAGCAGCCGCGGUAAUACGUAGGGCGCGAGCGUUGUCCGGAAUUAUUGGGCGUAAAGGGCUUGUAGGCGGUUGGCCGCGUCUGCCGUGAAAUCCUCUGGCUUAACUGGGGGCGUGCGGUGGGUACGGGUUGACUUGAGUGCGGUAGGGGAGACUGGAAUUCCUGGUGUAGCGGUGGAAUGCGCAGAUAUCAGGAGGAACACCGGUGGCGAAGGCGGGUCUCUGGGCCGUUACUGACGCUGAGGAGCGAAAGCGUGGGGAGCGAACAGG
Molecule: ribosomal RNA, 422 nt
Filed under: Verrucomicrobiota bacterium
Lineage: Bacteria; Pseudomonadati; Verrucomicrobiota
Description: Verrucomicrobia bacterium partial 16S ribosomal RNA
Rfam family: Bacterial small subunit ribosomal RNA
Source: RNAcentral